This is a non-coding RNA of Stegodyphus dumicola, 73 nucleotides long. The record is from the annotation of a RefSeq genome assembly. NCBI's taxonomy places the organism in Eukaryota, Metazoa, Arthropoda, Arachnida, Araneae, Eresidae.
GCCUUCGUGGUGUAGUGGUCAGCACACUGAGCCAGUAUUUCAGAGGUUCCUGGUUCGAUUCCCGGCGAAGGCG